Saccostrea cuccullata (small rock oyster) is the source of this 711-nucleotide long non-coding RNA. RefSeq lists it as uncharacterized. NCBI's taxonomy places the organism in Eukaryota, Metazoa, Mollusca, Bivalvia, Ostreida, Ostreidae. The record is from RefSeq and is a predicted model, not a curated record. The transcript has 3 exons.
AGAUGGGAACGGUCAAUGUCGUGAUCAUAGAACAUAUAAUUUUGCUAAAACACAAGUUUAAAGGAUUUAACAUCGAUAACAUAGUAAAAUAAAGCCAAAUUAAAUCAACAUUGCAUGAAUUUCAUUAAUUUUGGCUGUUUGCCUGUUCCAACCCCGAUAAUUUACGACAUUACACCCUAGCCGUUUUGCGACGCCAUGUUUUGUAGAGAAGGACGCAACGAUACAUUUGCAAGGAAAAAAGCAGUUUAUACGCCGAAAAUAGAUUAAAUACGUUUAUAUGUAGACGAAAAUAUACAGAUUGGUGCCGUUCGGUUUCAUUUAACAACUGUACAAACGAUGUCACCCCGAAUGCAGUUCCACGAUGUACAUGUUCUUCAUUGUUUUUCACGUAUAGAGAAGGAAAAGAAUCAACAUAUGUCAGCAGUUAACAUCUCCCACCUACUCAACUCUAGAUAGCUGUUCCUGUGGAUCCACAUGUAUGAAAAGAUCGCUGUGUGUUGCAAACACUAGAAUGGGCUAAGAAUCAUAUUCAUGUGUCAAAGCCUGAAAUCUGCAUGGCGCAGUUGUUAAAGCAGCUCUCAAUUGUCUCAAAGUAAGGAGCACUGUGGAACAUGGAGGCCAGUCCUUUGGAUGAGACUGUAUAAACUGUGUUCCCCUGCUGCAGUAGACGUUGGCAUGAAAAAGAUCCCUCAGAGGUCAAUGGCCAAAAGU